Molecule: long non-coding RNA, 2176 nt
Filed under: Parus major (Great Tit)
Lineage: Eukaryota; Metazoa; Chordata; Aves; Passeriformes; Paridae
Description: lncRNA (ENSPMJG00000016962.1)
Source: RNAcentral
UUUGAGCGUAUCCAAGAUACAGCGGAUUUGGGCACCCUGUCAAAUGUUCUCAUUGUCUGACCCUUGUCCAGACGCCAGUAAAACCCUUUGGGAAAUUCCCCCUCCGCCCAGCGCACCGGCUUUAAUUACAGGAGAGGAAUGCGAGGCGCAGAGCGCGGCUCCUCCCGGCCCUGCGCUCGGCCCAGCGCCUCGUGGCUCCCCGAAAGUUUUGGGAGCUGCGAGGUUCGGGGGUGCAGGGGAAGGGCUGUGACAUUCCCCGAGACCCCCGCGGGGGGUUUGUCCCCCUCCCCGGGCCGCGCUGGCAGCGGUGCCCGAGCAGCAGGACAUGAGUAAUCCCCAUCCCACCGGGGGAGGCAGAUCAAAGGCACCCGAGGAGAUACAAGAGGUUUCUGCUUCACAGACCAGAGCGGCUGCAGUUCAAUAGCGCCUUUGUUACCGGCCCUGCGGAGCCGGGGAUGGAGAAAUACCUGACCCCGCUCCCUCCCUCCCUCCUUCCCUCCCUCCCUCUGCUCCCAGCCCCUCGCAGCACAACCAGCUCAGCCACGAGAGCAGCACCAGAAAGGCUGGGGGGUCCCAAAGACCCCCCCUCUGUCGGGCUGGGAGCAGCGGGGUGACCCCCCCGAGCAGCGCUGGGCACCCCCUGCCCCGGGGUUUGGGGAGGAGAGGAUGAGGAUUGUGACGGUGAAGGCGCUGCCGCCCCAGCCCUGUCCCCGCUGGCACCGGGCCCUUCCCGCGGAGACCGUGCCACGCUGCCAAAGGUCGGAGUCACUCCCGAGCCUCUCCUGCUCCGGGUGAUGCCCCAGUUCACCUUCGCCUGUUUCUGUGGCCUCCACGGCUUCUGCAAGAUGAAGAGGAAGAAGGAACAGGCCAGCGGGGGGCAGGAGACGGCCGUGUGAGGAUCAGCCCCCGCCCGGGACCCCUCCUGUCCCCUCGAUUCUCCAUUUAUCCUGCAAAUUCUCUCCCGCAUCCCGCGGAUUCUCUCCUCAUUUCCCGUCCCUCCCUGUCCCCAGGACGGCCGGGGAAGAGCCGAAGUGUCCCUGCCCACGAUGUCCCUGCCCGUCCCGCUGGGAGCGAGAAUUCCCUCCCUGCUCCAGCAAUUCCCAGCAGAGAAACCGGGAAAAUCUCCAAAAUCCUGGCCAAGCCUUGUCGUUGCCAGAAUCCAGAGCUGGGCAGCGCCUCUGGCACGGCAAGGUCUGUCCCUGCCUCCUUCCCUCUCCCCGGCACAAUCCUGGAUGCUUCCAGAAACUCGGGAUGCGCUCCGGGAAUUCCUUCGGAUCUUCCUCUUCUCCCCUCCAGAAGCACCCGGACCUGAGCGCUGCUGGAGCAGAUAAAUCCCGCUGAUGGCAGUGGGAAUCAGGUGUCUAUCCAAGGAAAAUUCCAAGGAUUUUCCGUCCUCUGGAGCGGGAGGCGAGCGGUGAAGCCGAAGCUGGAGCCGUGUCCUGGCUGCUCCCGGAUUUCCUUUGGGAAGGGAUGCAGGAACGCAGCUCGUCCUCCCCAUCCCGGAUCCAGCUGGAAUUCCUGCAAAUCCCCCCCAAAAAAAAAUGCUGCGGAUUCCCAGGGUUCACGGGAAGAGCCUCCACCUCCUCAGGAAAGCAGAGCCGCGCUCCCCAAAGAGGAAUUUAUUCCCACCAGCAAUAAUCCCAUCCACCAAGGGAAGGAUCCACUGCCCUGCUCACAUUCCCACCGGGAAUUUGGGGUGGGAACUCUCCAGGCAGGGCAAUUCCUGCAUACAAGACUUAAAAAAUUAAAGCAAAAAAAACCAUUUUAAAUAUUUUUCCCCCCUCAGAAAUCACCUGGUGGAAGCUGUCCCUUCUCCCUGCCGAGGGGAGGAUUCUCUUCCAGGUAUUCCCAGUCUUCCCACAAGACAAAAUUAAUUCGUGGCUGUCCCAAAACUCGGCGUUUUCCAAAGGUUUUCCAGAGGAUGAAACAAUUCCAGAUCAGUUGAUUUGGGAAAAUGCUGAAUUUCCAUUUCAUUUCCCAUUUUUGCACCUCAGCCUCCUCGGUUCCACCUUUGGCGAGGAACUUUGGGAUCAGCUCUGGACCAAAAAAUCCAAGGAAAUUGGUGGAACUCCAAGGGAAUUUCCUGAAUUUCCCCAAUUCCACCUUUGGCAAGGAACAUUGGGAUCAGCUUUGAGCCAAAAAUAAAAAAUCCAAGGAAGUCGGGAAUUUCCUGGGA